AUGUGCAAUCUGCUUGCGGGCACAUGCGACGUGCUUCCCCUACUAAGUGGUGGUUUGAAUUUUGGCAAAAGCGGCUACGCAAUCCUAACCAGUGCAGACUGCACCACAGAGCAGCAACCUUUGUUGUCGUCAGCAGGCUACUCGACCUUCUUCAAAGUGCUAAUCCUCGGCAUGGUGUAUGAUGGGCUCGAUCCCAACCUGUACACGUUCUCAUCCAGAGAGGCCAGAUGGAGCAAGCCUACAAAAAUAGCUUUUGGAACCUAUGGGCAGAUUGGUGAUUGUAGACAUCCUGAUGCUGUCGUGUCUCGCGGCAAGGUGCAUUGGAGGGUCGGGUCUUGGUCAGUCGACGUGGACACUGAGACGAAUCACAUCUCUCGUAUAAUGAUCACGCGCUCGUAUUCCCAAAUGUACGACGAGCCACAGCUCACGGCCACCGCUAAUGGGACGCUCUCAGUGUUAUUGCUAUCGAGGCCGGGUCUCAGGCUUGACAUCUACACACGACAAUAUCAGAAAAAGAGUUACAAUGGUGGUACUUCCAAGUGGCUUAGUGCCGGCACUAUCACAUUGAAACCACCUGGGCGUAUGGAAAGAAGACCAAGGCCAAUAUUCUUGAGCGUGUUAGGAGAGAAAAGUGGCACGAUGCUACUCAAGGAUAGCCAGAAGCAAAUUUAUAUGGCUGACCGUGAGACAGGAGUGAUGGAGGAGUUGACUGACUGUUUGGAUGGGCUUAACCGUCGGAAGAUCAUAUUGUUGGAGAUGGACUGGUCUGCGUUAUUCAUUUCACGACUUUCUAGGUGGUAG
RNAcentral lists this ribosomal RNA (801 nucleotides) under Triticum aestivum (bread wheat). RNAcentral's name for it is "partial small subunit ribosomal RNA". The record is from RNAcentral. Lineage: Eukaryota; Viridiplantae; Streptophyta; Magnoliopsida; Poales; Poaceae.